AGCUCCAAUAGCGUAUAUUAAAGUUGCUGCAGUUAAAAAGCUCGUAGUUGCAUUUCCGAGGCAAGGGAUUAGUCCGACCUUUGGUGGGUAUUUCAUCCUCUUGCCUCGUCCUUGAGUGGUGCUUCUUGGUAUUAAGUUAUCGAGGAGAUAGCCGCUCAUCGUUUACUGUGAGAAAAUUAGAGUGUUCAAAGCAGGCUUAUGCCGUUGAAUAUAUUAGCAUGGAAUAAUAAGAUAGGACCUCGGUACUAUUUUGGUGGUUUGAGAACCAAGGUAAUGAUGAAUAGGGACAGUUGGGGGUAUUCGUAUUCAGUUGUCAGAGGUGAAAUUCUUAGAUUUACGGAAGACGAACUACUGCGAAAGCAUUUACCAAGGAUGUUUUCA
This 381-nucleotide ribosomal RNA is filed under the name uncultured marine Chaetocerotaceae. Its description in RNAcentral is "SSU rRNA". It matches the Rfam family "Eukaryotic small subunit ribosomal RNA", at positions 587 to 972 of the family's 1831-position model. The record is from RNAcentral. Lineage: Eukaryota; Bacillariophyta; Thalassiosirophyceae; Chaetocerotales; Chaetocerotaceae.